UAAGUGAGCACUGCACCUGAUAUGUUGAUGUCGUCCGGACCGUGAGAGCGGCGUCUUGCGUUCAUGUGUUGGGCGGUUUGUACAUGCGAACACUGCACCGAUGGGUUGAUGUAAACCAGACUGCGGGGGCGGCGUCUUGCGUCCGUCUAUUGGGCGGCUCGUACAGGCGAGCACUAUACCGGCGGGUUGAGUUGAAUGUGAGAGUUGUGUGGCGAUAUGGCAUGGACUCGAGAACCGGACGCGGCGUUGUAAGCCGUCUUGGUCACGUGAACGUGAGAGUUGGCCGCGUCGUUGUACGCCGUCUUGGUUGGGCAUGAGAGUUGGCCGCGUCAUUUGUGAACCGUCUUGGUCGCGCAGACGUGAGAGUUGGGUGCGUCGUUGUAAGCCGGCGUAGACGGUGAGUCGCACAUGUCAUUGAUUGAUAAGAACUUCGUACUCGUAAUAUGACGCCACUUUGUAAUGAAUAAUUGUCCUGCGUCAAAAAUUACAGGCCAAAGUAAUUGUUCACAGAGAAAUUAAUAUGUCGUAAUAAAAACAAAUUAGAUAGAUAGCACCUGAUAUUUUUAUUGGAUGAAAUAUUGAUGAUUCAUAUGCAGACUCAUAUGCAGACGCUGGUGUUCCUCUAAUGAUCAUGGUCCUCUUGAUGUGUCGCUUUUGGUGUAUUUGUCGGAUAAGAUAGUAUCCAAACAGCAACUUUUUUGUGGUAGGCUCACGUUGAGCGACCCGGCCUGCUACUGCUAAUAGAUUGCUCUCAUAAAUGCCGCCGUGAGACCCAAACUUGAUCACCAAUUCUUCAGUGAUCAUGUACUAAAGCAGCGGUAACUUUAACAGAACCAUAGACAGUAGAUCAUAUGAAAGAUCUACAAACUGAACUUGUUCCAUCAUUUUCACUGGUCCAUAGUAGUAACGCCUCAGUCUUUUCCUCGGGUGUGUAUAGAUCGCUGCCCAUUUUGAUUUAGCAGCAAGGAUGAUGCAGUUUGCGAUGAGCAGCACCGGGUCAAGGGAUACGCGCUACGCAAGGACGGGCACGACGGCGCGCGCCUUGGUGAGGAGCUGCAGGUCGCCGCCUGUGGCGAAGGCGACUUUGGAAAUGCUGUGAGAGGCAUGGCGCACGCGAACCGGCCAGUGUGGGGUGGCGAAGCGGCGGGCAUGCGGUGGGUGAUGAGGCCGGACCAUGGCGAAGCGAGACACCGGUCGAGAGCGGGGCGGGGUGGCAUGCCACAGCCAACGCAGCAAGCCGGCUAGAUGGCUUGAGGAAAAGCAUGGCGGCAAAGGUGAGGCCGCGGCGAUGAGGCGUAACACAACAGCAGAGGCGAGGCAGGCUCGGAGUGGUCGGCAAGUCGAGGCCAACUCAGAGUGGGCGCAGCAAAGCAGAUACGAGGGCGGCUCAGACGCGAGGCCACGACGCUAGCGAGCUCAGCGGGUUGAAGCACUCGUGGGUCAGAGUGGAGGCAUGUGCGGCGGGUCAUUCCUGGAGACGGCGGAGGUGCAGCAGAGCCAGCCGAAGUGUGACCGGCGAGGCGGAGGCGGCAGCUAUGGCGGAGGUGACACGUCGAGGCGGAGUGGAGCCGGGCGAGGUGGAGGUGAGAGCCGCCAGUGGCUGCGGCGCGCGGAGGCGGAGCGGCGGAUGAGCCGGCCAGGAGCUGCUCGCGGCGAGGGCGAGGUGAUGCGGAGCGGCUGCUGAGGAGGCGCAGUGCGCAAGGCGAGCGACGGUGACUCGGCAGGUGGCUUGUAGCGC
RNAcentral lists this long non-coding RNA (1738 nucleotides) under Hordeum vulgare. RNAcentral describes it as "long non-coding RNA (HVUL_LNC012298)". The record is from RNAcentral. Lineage: Eukaryota; Viridiplantae; Streptophyta; Magnoliopsida; Poales; Poaceae.